UGAGUAACACGUAUGCAAUCCACCUGUAACAGGGGGAUAACCCGGAGAAAUCCGGACUAAUACCCCAUAAUAUGGGCGCUCCGCAUGGAGAGCCCAUUAAAGAGAGCAAUUUUGGUUACAGACGAGCAUGCGCUCCAUUAGCCAGUUGGCGGGGUAACGGCCCACCAAAGCGACGAUGGAUAGGGGUUCUGAGAGGAAGGUCCCCCACACUGGAACUGAGACACGGUCCAG
RNAcentral lists this ribosomal RNA (231 nucleotides) under uncultured bacterium. Its description in RNAcentral is "partial 16S ribosomal RNA". It matches the Rfam family "Bacterial small subunit ribosomal RNA", at positions 107 to 334 of the family's 1533-position model. The record is from RNAcentral.